AUCCCAAAAAACACGCCCCAGUUCAGAUCGAAGGCUGCAACUCGCCUUCGUGAAGUUGGAAUCGCUAGUAAUCGCGGGUCAGCAACACCGCGGUGAAUGUGUUCCUGAGCCUUGUACACACCGCCCGUCAAGCCACGAAAGAGUAGAGCGCCCGAAGCCAUCUUUGCCGAUGUCGAAGGCGAAAUACUUGAUUGGGACUAAGUCGUAACAAGGUAACCGUAGGGGAACCUGCGGUUGGAUCACCUCCUUU
Molecule: ribosomal RNA, 250 nt
Filed under: Planctomycetia bacterium
Lineage: Bacteria; Pseudomonadati; Planctomycetota; Planctomycetia
Description: partial 16S ribosomal RNA
Rfam family: Bacterial small subunit ribosomal RNA
Source: RNAcentral